This is a long non-coding RNA of Aplysia californica (California sea hare), 263 nucleotides long. RefSeq lists it as uncharacterized. The transcript has 3 exons. NCBI's taxonomy places the organism in Eukaryota, Metazoa, Mollusca, Gastropoda, Aplysiida, Aplysiidae. The record is from RefSeq and is a predicted model, not a curated record.
UGGGGAUCGAAGGCAGGCCGCUUUUCCGCUUUCGCUGGGUCAUAAACAACAAAGGACCACACCUUUUACUGCUGGACAAAGAGAGAGAGGGAGAAUCAGAAAAGUGCUGUGCAUCGAUACUCUCGAAAUCUUCUAGACCGCGAUUUGUUGGUGCAGUUCGAAGAUCAUGAUGGGUCCAUCAGCUGUAUUGGGAGGUCGCCUGCUUGUGGCUGCUUUCAUUUUGGCGCUAACUCUGAUGACGUCACCCCCAGCGAGUGGAAAAC